GACGAACGCUGGCGGCGUGCUUAACACAUGCAAGUCGAACGGAAAGGCCCUGCUUUUGUGGGGUGCUCGAGUGGCGAACGGGUGAGUAGCACGUGAGUAACCUGCCCUUGACUUUGGGAUAACUUCAGGAAACUGGGGCUAAUACCGGAUAGGAGCUCCUGCUGCAUGGUGGGGGUUGGAAAGUUUCGGCGGUUGGGGAUGGACUCGCGGCUUAUCAGCUUGUUGGUGGGGUAGUGGCUUACCGAGGCUUUGACGGGUAGCCGGCCUGAGAGGGUGACCGGCCACAUUGGGACUGAGAUACGGCCCAGACUCCUACGGGAGGCAGCAGUGGGGAAUAUUGCACAAUGGGCGGAAGCCUGAUGCAGCAACGCCGCGUGCGGGAUGACGGCCUUCGGGUUGUAAACCGCUUUCGCCUGUGACGAAGCGUGAGUGACGGUAAUGGGUAAAGAAGCACCGGCUAACUACGUG
This 468-nucleotide ribosomal RNA is filed under the name uncultured bacterium. RNAcentral's name for it is "partial 16S ribosomal RNA". It matches the Rfam family "Bacterial small subunit ribosomal RNA", at positions 28 to 507 of the family's 1533-position model. The record is from RNAcentral.